Molecule: ribosomal RNA, 737 nt
Filed under: uncultured archaeon
Lineage: Archaea
Description: bacterial SSU rRNA
Rfam family: Archaeal small subunit ribosomal RNA
Source: RNAcentral
CGAGUCAUUGUAGCAUACAAGGCAGACGGCUCAGUAACGCGUAGUCAAUCUACCCUAUGGACGGGAAUAACCUCGGGAAACUGAGAAUAAUGCCCGAUAGAACAUUAUGCCUGGAAUGGUUUAUGUUUCAAAUGAUUUAUCGCCAUAGGAUGGGACUGCGGCCUAUCAGUUUGUUGGUGAGGUAAUGGCCCACCAAGACUAUUACAGGUACGGGCUCUGAGAGGAGUAGCCCGGAGGUGGGUACUGAGACACGGACCCAGGCCCUAUGGGGCGCAGCAGGCGAGAAAACUUUGCAAUGUGCGAAAGCACGACAAGGUUAAUCCGAGUGGUUUCUGCUAAAGAAACCUUUUGUCAGUCCUAGAAACACUGAUGAAUAAGGGGUGGGCAAGUUCUGGUGUCAGCCGCCGCGGUAAAACCAGCACCUCAAGUGGUCAGGAUGAUUAUUGGGCCUAAAGCAUCCGUAGCUCGUUUUGUAAGUUUUCGGUUAAAUCCAUGCGCUUAACGUAUGGGCUGCCGGGAAUACUGCAUAACUAGGAAGUGGGAGAGGUAGACGGUACUCGGUAGGAAGGGGUAAAAUCCUUUGAUCUAUUGAUGACCACCUGUGGCGAAGGCGGUCUACCAGAACACGUUCGACGGUGAGGGAUGAAAGCUGGGGGAGCAAACCGGAUUAGAUACCCGGGUAGUCCCAGCUGUAAACUAUGCAAACUCAGUGAUGCAUUGGCUUGUGGCCAAUGCAG